UUGUUGCCAGCGGUCCGGCCGGGAACUCAAAGGAGACUGCCAGUGAUAAACUGGAGGAAGGUGGGGAUGACGUCAAGUCAUCAUGGCCCUUACGACCAGGGCUACACACGUGCUACAAUGGCGCAUACAAAGAGAAGCGACCUCGCGAGAGCAAGCGGACCUCAUAAAGUGCGUCGUAGUCCGGAUUGGAGUCUGCAACUCGACUCCAUGAAGUCGGAAUCGCUAGUAAUCGUGGAUCAGAAUGCCACGGUGAAUACGUUCCCGGGCCUUGUACACACCGCCCGUCACACCAUGGGAGUGGGUUGCAAAAGAAGUAGGUAGCUUAACCUUCGGGAGGGCGCUUACCACUUUGUGAUUCAUGACUGGGGUGAAGUCGUAACAAGGUAACCGUAGGGGAACCUGCGGUUGGAUCACCUCCUUACCUUAAAGAA
This 431-nucleotide ribosomal RNA is filed under the name Salmonella enterica subsp. enterica serovar Manhattan. Its description in RNAcentral is "bacterial SSU rRNA". It matches the Rfam family "Bacterial small subunit ribosomal RNA", at positions 1112 to 1533 of the family's 1533-position model. Lineage: Bacteria; Pseudomonadati; Pseudomonadota; Gammaproteobacteria; Enterobacterales; Enterobacteriaceae. The record is from RNAcentral.